RNAcentral lists this unclassified non-coding RNA (301 nucleotides) under Glomus sp. RNAcentral describes it as "partial contains 5.8S ribosomal RNA and internal transcribed spacer 2". The stretch from base 1 to 65 matches the Rfam family "5.8S ribosomal RNA", at positions 84 to 154 of the family's 154-position model. The record is from RNAcentral. Lineage: Eukaryota; Fungi; Glomeromycota; Glomeromycetes; Glomerales; Glomeraceae.
GUGAAUCAUCGAAUCUUUGAACGCAAAUUGCACUCUCCUCGGAGAGUAUGCCUGUUUGAGGGUCAGCCUAAAAAAAUCGACAUCGUUUCUGUUUCGCGGUGAUGUUCGUCGGAAAUUUGGUCAUCUUAAAUCCUUUUGGUUUUAAGCGACUUAAAAAUUUCUUUUUGGUUCCAUGAACGUUUCUAAGAUUUAUUUCUUUACACGUUUAAGGUAUCGAGUUUUACUACACUUUACCAUCAUAUCGGAUCGCGUCCAUCAUCUUUCAUUAACUGACCUCAUACAGGUAAUAGUACCCGCUUAA